UGAGGAAUAUUGGUCAAUGGGCGAGAGCCUGAACCAGCCAAGUAGCGUGCAGGAAGACGGCCCUAUGGGUUGUAAACUGCUUUUAUGUGGGGAUAAAGUGCGUGACGUGUCAUGCAUUGCAGGUACCACAUGAAUAAGGACCGGCUAAUUCCGUGCCAGCAGCCGCGGUAAUACGGAAGGUUCGGGCGUUAUCAGGAUUUAUUGGGUUUAAAGGGAGCGUAGGCCGUUUGGUAAGCGUGUUGUGAAAUGUAGGAGCUCAACUUCUAGAUUGCAGCGCGAACUGUCAGACUUGAGUGCGCACAACGUAGGCGGAAUUCAUGGUGUAGCGGUGAAAUGCUUAGAUAUCAUGAAGAACUCCGAUUGCGAAGGCAGCUUACGGGAGCGCAACUGACGCUGAAGCUCGAAGGUGCGGGUAUCGAACAGG
This 424-nucleotide ribosomal RNA is filed under the name Verrucomicrobiota bacterium. RNAcentral's name for it is "Verrucomicrobia bacterium partial 16S ribosomal RNA". It matches the Rfam family "Bacterial small subunit ribosomal RNA", at positions 355 to 776 of the family's 1533-position model. The record is from RNAcentral. Lineage: Bacteria; Pseudomonadati; Verrucomicrobiota.